GAUGAACGCUGGCGGCGUGCCUAAUACAUGCAAGUCGAGCGAACAGACGAGGAGCUUGCUCCUCUGACGUUAGCGGCGGACGGGUGAGUAACACGUGGAUAACCUACCUAUAAGACUGGGAUAACUUCGGGAAACCGGAGCUAAUACCGGAUAAUAUAUUGAACCGCAUGGUUCAAUAGUGAAAGACGGUUUUGCUGUCACUUAUAGAUGGAUCCGCGCCGCAUUAGCUAGUUGGUAAGGUAACGGCUUACCAAGGCAACGAUGCGUAGCCGACCUGAGAGGGGGGGUGGCCACCCCUGGAACGGGACCAGGUCCCAGACCCCGAGGGGAGGCGCAGGGGGGAAUUCUCCCGGAAGGGGCGAAGCCCGGAGGGAGCACGGCGGCGGGAGGAAGAAGGGUUUCCGUACCUAAAAACUGUGUUUUUGGGAAAAAAAAAGUGGGAAAGAAAAAAGGCCCGUUUGCAGGUUCCCUAAUAGAAAGCCCCCGCCUAACUAGGCC
RNAcentral lists this ribosomal RNA (498 nucleotides) under uncultured bacterium. RNAcentral describes it as "partial 16S ribosomal RNA". It matches the Rfam family "Bacterial small subunit ribosomal RNA", at positions 28 to 509 of the family's 1533-position model. The record is from RNAcentral.